AAACUUUUGGACGGCGGUGAAGACGGUGCCUCUUAUGCUGUCGAAGGGUGAAGCCCAGUUUUUUGGGUGGAUUAGUGGGGAACGGGUGAGUAACCCGUGAGUACCCUGCCCUUAACUUUGGGAUAAGCCUGGGAAACUGGGUCUAAUCCCGGAUAGGAGGGCCUACCGCAUGGUGGGUGUUGGAAAGAUUUAUCGGUUUUGGAUGGACUCGCGGCCUAUCAGCUUGUUGGUGAGGUAAUGGCUCACCAAGGCGACGACGGGUAGCCGGCCUGAGAGGGUGACCGGCCACACUGGGACUGAGACACGGCCCAGACUCCUACGGGAGGCAGCAGUGGGGAAUAUUGCCCAAUGGGCGCAAGCCUGAUGCAGCGACGCCGCGUGAGGGAUGACGGCCUUCGGGUUGUAAACCUCUUUCAGUAGGGAAGAAGCGAAAGUGACGGUACCUGCAGAAGAAGCACCGGCUAACUACGUGCCAGCAGCCGCGGUAAUACGUAGGGUGCGAGCGUUAUCCGGAAUUAUUGGGCGUAAAGAGCUCGUAGGCGGUUUGUCGCGUCUGUCGUGAAAGUCCGGGGCUUAACCCCGGAUCUGCGGUGGGUACGGGCAGACUAGAGUGCAGUAGGGGAGACUGGAAUUCCUGGUGUAGCGGUGGAAUGCGCAGAUAUCAGGAGGAACACCGAUGGCGAAGGCAGGUCUCUGGGCUGUAACUGACGCUGAGGAGCGAAAGCAUGGGGAGCGAACAGGAUUAGAUACCCUGGUAGUCCAUGCCGUAAACGUUGGGCACUAGGUGUGGGGACCAUUCCACGGUUUCCGCGCCGCAGCUAACGCAUUAAGUGCCCCGCCUGGGGAGUACGGCCGCAAGGCUAAAACUCAAAGGAAUUGACGGGGGCCCGCACAAGCGGCGGAGCAUGCGGAUUAAUUCGAUGCAACGCGAAGAACCUUACCAAGGCUUGACAUGUUCUCGAUCGCCGUAGAGAUACGGUUUCCCCUUUGGGGCGGGUUCACAGGUGGUGCAUGGUUGUCGUCAGCUCGUGUCGUGAGAUGUUGGGUUAAGUCCCGCAACGAGCGCAACCCUCGUUCCAUGUUGCCAGCACGUCGUGGUGGGGACUCAUGGGAGACUGCCGGGGUCAACUCGGAGGAAGGUGAGGACGACGUCAAAUCAUCAUGCCCCUUAUGUCUUGGGCUUCACGCAUGCUACAAUGGCCGGUACAAUGGGUUGCGAUACUGUGAGGUGGAGCUAAUCCCAAAAAGCCGGUCUCAGUUCGGGUUGGGGUCUGCACUCGACCCCUUGAAGUCGGAGUCGCUAGUAAUCGGAGUUCAGCAACGGUGGGGUGAAUACUUUUCCGGGCCUUUUACACACCGCCCGUCAAGUUACGAAAGUUGGUAACCCCCAAGCCGGUGGGCUAACCCUUUGGGGGAGCCCUAUAGUGUCCGCAUAGGUGCUCCGCCCCACCCC
Molecule: ribosomal RNA, 1453 nt
Filed under: Micrococcus sp. UYEF5
Lineage: Bacteria; Bacillati; Actinomycetota; Actinomycetes; Micrococcales; Micrococcaceae
Description: bacterial SSU rRNA
Rfam family: Bacterial small subunit ribosomal RNA
Source: RNAcentral